AAGUCGUAACAAGGUUUCCGUAGGUGAACCUGCGGAAGGAUCAUUAAAAGAGAGAGGGUCUCCAGGCCCAAACCUCCCCUCCCUGAGAACCAACCUUGCCUUGCUUGGAUGGUACCGCCCAUCAGAGGACCCUUGAAACCCCGUCAUCUGUGGAGUCUGAGCAUGAUACAAUAGUUAAAA
RNAcentral lists this unclassified non-coding RNA (180 nucleotides) under plant metagenome. RNAcentral's name for it is "partial contains small subunit ribosomal RNA and internal transcribed spacer 1". The stretch from base 1 to 46 matches the Rfam family "Eukaryotic small subunit ribosomal RNA", at positions 1786 to 1831 of the family's 1831-position model. The record is from RNAcentral.